GACGAACGCUGGCGGCGUGCUUAACACAUGCAAGUCGAACGGAGCGAAUGAAAGCUUGCUUUUAUAAGCUUAGUGGCAAACGGGUGAGUAACACGUAGGCAACCUGCCGACAGGAUGGGGACAACAUUCCGAAAGGAAUGCUAAUACCGAAUGAAGCGCAGGAGAGGCAUCUCUCCUGCGUGAAAGAUGGCCUCUAUAUAUAAGCUAUCACCUGUCGAUGGGCCUGCGUCUGAUUAGCUGGUAGGUGAGGUAACGGCUCACCUAGGCGACGAUCAGUAGCCGGUCUGAGAGGAUGAACGGCCACAUUGGGACUGAGACACGGCCCAGACUCCUACGGGAGGCAGCAGUGGGGAAUCUUCCGCAAUGGGCGCAAGCCUGACGGAGCAACGCCGCGUGAGUGAAGAAGGUCUUCGGAUCGUAAAGCUCUGUUGAUGGGGACGAACGUGCCUAAUGCGAAUAGUUUUAGGCAAUGACG
This 475-nucleotide ribosomal RNA is filed under the name Centipeda noxia. RNAcentral's name for it is "bacterial SSU rRNA". It matches the Rfam family "Bacterial small subunit ribosomal RNA", at positions 28 to 474 of the family's 1533-position model. Lineage: Bacteria; Bacillati; Bacillota; Negativicutes; Selenomonadales; Selenomonadaceae. The record is from RNAcentral.